Molecule: transfer RNA, 64 nt
Filed under: Tetraclita japonica (Japanese acorn barnacle)
Lineage: Eukaryota; Metazoa; Arthropoda; Thecostraca; Balanomorpha; Tetraclitidae
Description: tRNA-Gly
Source: RNAcentral
GCUUAAUUAGUAUAUACAGUAUUAUAGACUUCCAAUCUGUAGGACCGAACGCCUGGAUUAAGCA